UAGGGAAUCUUCCACAAUGGACGCAAGUCUGAUGGAGCAACGCCGCGUGAGUGAAGAAGGUUUUCGGACCGUAAAGCUCUGUUGUUGGUGAAGAAGGAUAGAGGUAGUAACUGGCCUUUAUUUGACGGUAAUCAACCAGAAAGUCACGGCUAACUACGUGCCAGCAGCCGCGGUAAUACGUAGGUGGCAAGCGUUGUCCGGAUUUAUUGGGCGUAAAGCGAGCGCAGGCGGAAGAAUAAGUCUGAUGUGAAAGCCCUCGGCUUAACCGAGGAAUUGCAUCGGAAACUGU
Molecule: ribosomal RNA, 289 nt
Filed under: uncultured bacterium
Lineage: Bacteria
Description: partial 16S ribosomal RNA
Rfam family: Bacterial small subunit ribosomal RNA
Source: RNAcentral